CACUGAACAUUGAGCCUUGAUGUGUAGGAUAGGUGGGAGGCUUUGAAGUGUGGACGCCAGUCUGCAUGGAGCCGACCUUGAAAUACCACCCUUUAAUGUUUGAUGUUCUAACGUUGGCCCCUAAUCGGGGUUGCGGACAGUGUCUGGUGGGUAGUUUGACUGGGGCGGUCUCCUCCUAAAGAGUAACGGAGGAGCACGAAGGUUGGCUAAUCCUGGUCGGACAUCAGGAGGUUAGUGCAAUGGCAUAAGCCAGCUUGACUGCGAGCGUGACGGCGCGAGCAGGUGCGAAAGCAGGUCAUAGUGAUCCGGUGGUUCUGAAUGGAAGGGCCAUCGCUCAACGGAUAAAAGGUACUCCGGGGAUAACAGGCUGAUACCGCCCAAGAGUUCAUAUCGACGGCGGUGUUUGGCACCUCGAUGUCGGCUCAUCACAUCCUGGGGCUGAAGUAGGUCCCAAGGGUAUGGCUGUUCGCCAUUUAAAGUGGUACGCGAGCUGGGUUUAGAACGUCGUGAGACAGUUCGGUCCCUAUCUGCCGUGGGCGCUGGAGAACUGAGGGGGGCUGCUCCUAGUACGAGAGGACCGGAGUGGACGCAUCACUGGUGUUCGGGUUGUCAUGCCAAUGGCACUGCCCGGUAGCUAAAUGCGGAAGAGAUAAGUGCUGAAAGCAUCUAAGCACGAAACUUGCCCCG
This 687-nucleotide ribosomal RNA is filed under the name Escherichia coli. RNAcentral's name for it is "partial 23S ribosomal RNA". It matches the Rfam family "Bacterial large subunit ribosomal RNA", at positions 2115 to 2801 of the family's 2925-position model. The record is from RNAcentral. Lineage: Bacteria; Pseudomonadati; Pseudomonadota; Gammaproteobacteria; Enterobacterales; Enterobacteriaceae.